This 433-nucleotide ribosomal RNA is filed under the name uncultured bacterium. RNAcentral's name for it is "partial 16S ribosomal RNA". It matches the Rfam family "Bacterial small subunit ribosomal RNA", at positions 29 to 507 of the family's 1533-position model. The record is from RNAcentral.
AACGAACGCUGGCGGCAUGCCUAACACAUGCAAGUCGAACGAGACCUUCGGGUCUAGUGGCGCACGGGUGCGUAACGCGUGGGAACCUGCCCUUAGGUUCGGAAUAACUCCCCGACAGGGGUGCUAAUACCGGAUAAUGUCUUCGGACCAAAGAUUUAUCGCCUUUGGAUGGGCCCGCGUUGGAUUAGCUCGUUGGUAGGGUAAAAGCCUACCAAGGCGACGAUCCAUAGCUGGUCUGAGAGGAUGAUCAGCCACACUGGGACUGAGACACGGCCCAGACUCCUACGGGAGGCAGCAGUGGGGAAUAUUGGAAAAUGGGCGAAAGCCUGAUCCAGCAAUGCCGCGUGAGUGAUGAAGGCCUUAGGGUUGUAAAGCGCUUUUACCCGGGAUGAUAAUGACAGUACCGGGAGAAUAAGCUCCGGCUAACUCCGUG